UCCCUGAUAGCUCAGUGGGUAAAGAAUCUGCCUGCAAUGCAGGAGACUUAGGUUUGAUCCCUGGGUUGGGAA
RNAcentral lists this transfer RNA (72 nucleotides) under Ovis aries (sheep). It matches the Rfam family "tRNA". Rfam says of the family: Transfer RNA (tRNA) molecules are approximately 80 nucleotides in length. Their secondary structure includes four short double-helical elements and three loops (D, anti-codon, and T loops). The record is from Rfam by way of RNAcentral. Lineage: Eukaryota; Metazoa; Chordata; Mammalia; Artiodactyla; Bovidae.